RNAcentral lists this ribosomal RNA (301 nucleotides) under uncultured bacterium. RNAcentral describes it as "partial 16S ribosomal RNA". It matches the Rfam family "Archaeal small subunit ribosomal RNA", at positions 459 to 759 of the family's 1478-position model. The record is from RNAcentral.
CAGUAGCCGCGGUAAAACCAGCAGCCCAAGUGGUGGUCGCGUUUAUUGGGCCUAAAGCGCUCGUAGCCUGGCCGGUAAGUUCCCCGUGAAAUCGGGUCGCCCAACGAUUCGGCUUGCGGGGAAUACUGUCGGUCUUGGGGCCGGGAGACGCCGAGGGUACUCCGGGGGUAGCGGUGAAAUGCUGUAAUCCUCGGGGGACUACCAGUGGCGAAGGCGCUCGGCGAUAACGGGCCUGACGGUGAGGGGCGAAAGCUGGGGGCGCAAACGGGAUUAGAGACCCCUGUAGUCCCUGUCUCUUAUA